CAGCUAACGCGAUAAGUAGACCGCCUGGGGAGUACGGUCGCAAGACUAAAACUCAAAUGAAUUGACGGGGGCCCGCACAAGCGGUGGAGCAUGUGGUUUAAUUCGAUGCAACGCGAAGAACCUUACCUGGUCUUGACAUAGAUAAGAACUUUCCAGAGAUGGAUUGGUGCCUUCGGGAACUUACAUACAGGUGCUGCAUGGCUGUCGUCAGCUCGUGUCGUGAGAUGUUGGGUUAAGUCCCGCAACGAGCGCAACCCUUUUCCUUAUUUGCCAGCGAGUAAUGUCGGGAACUUUAAGGAUACUGCCAGUGACAAACUGGAGGAAGGCGGGGAACAACGUCAAGUCAUCAUGGCCCUUACAGCCAGGGCUACCCACGUGCUACAAUGGUCGGUACAAAGGGUUGCUACCUAGCGAUAGGAUGCUAAUCUCAAAAAGCCGAUCGUAGUCCGGAUUGAAGUCUGCAACUCGCACUCCAUGAAGUCGGAAUCCGCUAGUAAUCGCGAGAUCAAAAUGCCGCGGGUGAAUCACGUUCCCGGGCCUUGUACACCCCGCCCGUCACACC
Molecule: ribosomal RNA, 562 nt
Filed under: Acinetobacter calcoaceticus
Lineage: Bacteria; Pseudomonadati; Pseudomonadota; Gammaproteobacteria; Moraxellales; Moraxellaceae
Description: bacterial SSU rRNA
Rfam family: Bacterial small subunit ribosomal RNA
Source: RNAcentral